UACAGAGGUCCCAAGCGUUGUUCGGAUUCAUUGGGCGUAAAGGGUGCGUAGGUGGCGUCGUAAGUCGGGUGUGAAAUCUCGGGGCUUAACUCCGAAACUGCAUUCGAUACUGCGGUGCUUGAGGACUGGAGAGGAGACUGGAAUUUACGGUGUAGCAGUGAAAUGCGUAGAGAUCGUAAGGAAGACCAGUGGCGAAGGCGGGUCUCUGGACCACAACUGACGCUGAGGCGCGAAAGCUAGGGGAGCAAACAGG
RNAcentral lists this ribosomal RNA (253 nucleotides) under uncultured bacterium. RNAcentral describes it as "partial 16S ribosomal RNA". It matches the Rfam family "Bacterial small subunit ribosomal RNA", at positions 524 to 776 of the family's 1533-position model. The record is from RNAcentral.